UACAGAGGGUGCGAACGUUGUUCGGAAUUACUGGGCGUAAAGCGUGUGUAGGCGGCAAUGCAAGUCGGGCGUGAAAUCCCACGGCUCAACCGUGGAAGUGCACUCGAAACUGCAUAGCUAGAGUCCUGGAGAGGAAGGUGGAAUGCUUGGUGUAGAGGUGAAAUUCGUAGAUAUCAAGCGGAACACCGGCGGCGAAGGCGGCCUUCUGGACAGUGACUGACGCUGAGACACGAAAGCGUGGGGAGCAAACAGG
RNAcentral lists this ribosomal RNA (253 nucleotides) under uncultured bacterium. Its description in RNAcentral is "partial 16S ribosomal RNA". It matches the Rfam family "Bacterial small subunit ribosomal RNA", at positions 524 to 776 of the family's 1533-position model. The record is from RNAcentral.